Molecule: ribosomal RNA, 704 nt
Filed under: uncultured Pseudomonadota bacterium
Lineage: Bacteria; Pseudomonadati; Pseudomonadota
Description: bacterial SSU rRNA
Rfam family: Bacterial small subunit ribosomal RNA
Source: RNAcentral
AUUGAACGCUGGCGGCAGGCCUAACACAUGCAAGUCGAACGGUAACAGGAAGAAGCUUGCUUCUUUGCUGACGAGUGGCGGACGGGUGAGUAAUGUCUGGGAAACUGCCUGAUGGAGGGGGAUAACUACUGGAAACGGUAGCUAAUACCGCAUAACGUCGCAAGACCAAAGAGGGGGACCUUCGGGCCUCUUGCCAUCGGAUGUGCCCAGAUGGGAUUAGCUAGUAGGUGGGGUAACGGCUCACCUAGGCGACGAUCCCUAGCUGGUCUGAGAGGAUGACCAGCCACACUGGAACUGAGACACGGUCCAGACUCCUACGGGAGGCAGCAGUGGGGAAUAUUGCACAAUGGGCGCAAGCCUGAUGCAGCCAUGCCGCGUGUAUGAAGAAGGCCUUCGGGUUGUAAAGUACUUUCAGCGGGGAGGAAGGGAGUAAAGUUAAUACCUUUGCUCAUUGACGUUACCCGCAGAAGAAGCACCGGCUAACUCCGUGCCAGCAGCCGCGGUAAUACGGAGGGUGCAAGCGUUAAUCGGAAUUACUGGGCGUAAAGCGCACGCAGGCGGUUUGUUAAGUCAGAUGUGAAUCCCCGGGCUCAACCUGGGAACUGCAUCUGAUACUGGCAAGCUUGAGUCUCGUAGAGGGGGGUAGAAUUCCAGGUGUAGCGGUGAAAUGCGUAGAGAUCUGGAGGAAUACCGGUGGCGAAGGC